This 459-nucleotide ribosomal RNA is filed under the name uncultured bacterium. RNAcentral's name for it is "partial 16S ribosomal RNA". It matches the Rfam family "Bacterial small subunit ribosomal RNA", at positions 338 to 795 of the family's 1533-position model. The record is from RNAcentral.
CCUACGGGAGGCUGCAGUGAGGAAUAUUGGUCAAUGGGCGCGAGCCUGAACCAGCCAAGUAGCGUGAAGGAUGACUGCCCUACGGGUUGUAAACUUCUUUUAUAAAGGAAUAAAGUGAGCCACGUGUGCCUUUUUGUCUGUACCUUAUGAAUAAGGAUCGGCUAACUCCGUGCCAGCAGCCGCGGUAAUACGGAGGAUCCGAGCGUUAUCCGGAUUUAUUGGGUUUAAAGGGUGCGUAGACGGUUUUUUAAGUAAGUGGUAAAACGUCGGGGCUAAACCUUGAGUUGCCAUUUAUACUGGAAGUCUUGAGUGCAGAUGAGGUAGGCGGAAUACGUGAAGUAGCGGUGAAAUGCUUAGAUAUCACGUAGAACUCCGAUAGCGAAGGCAGCUUACUAGACUGCCACUGACGUUGAUGCACGAGAGUGUGGGUAGCGAACAGGAUUAGAUACCCUAGUAGUC